GAUGAACGCUGGCGGCGUGACUAAUACAUGCCAGCCGCGAGAACAGACGAGGAGCUUGCUGCUCUCACGUUACAGGCGGACGUUUGCGUAACCCGUGGCUAACCUACCUUUAAGACGGGGAUAACUUCGGGAAACCGGAGCUAAUACCGGAUAAUAUAUUGAACCGCAUGGUUCAAUAGUGAAAGACGGUUUUGCUGUCCCUUAUAGAUGGAUCCGCGCCGCAUUCGCUAGUUGGUAAGGUAACGGCUUACCAAGGGAACGAUGCGUAGCGGACCUGAGAGAGUGAUCGGCCACACGAGAGCUGAGACACGGUCCAGACGCCUACGGGAGGCAGCAGUAGGGAAGCUGCCGCAAUGGGCGGAAGCCUGACGGAGCAACGCCGCGUGAGUGAUGAAGGUCCUCGGAUCGUAAAGCUCGGUUAUGAGGGAAGAACAAGUGUGGAAGUAGCUAUGCACGGCUGGACGGGACCUAAUCAGAAAGACACGGCUAACUAAGGG
Molecule: ribosomal RNA, 497 nt
Filed under: uncultured bacterium
Lineage: Bacteria
Description: partial 16S ribosomal RNA
Rfam family: Bacterial small subunit ribosomal RNA
Source: RNAcentral